AGAGAAUAAGAUUCAUCUCUUGUCAAAUAAAAAGGAAGAAAAUAUUUUUAAAUAAUUUUACAAAAAGGAAUAUACGAAUUGAACCUUAGACACUAAAUUACAGAAAAAGAUAAAAGGAAUGGGAAUAGUAAAACCGAUCAGGCAUGAGGGCAUUUUCAAAAAAUGUAAGUAUUCUUCCCAAGAACAGGCAAGAGAAAAAGAGCCAAAACUCCUGCUAUGCAGCAAAUAACACUGAAUCCAAACUAAAAUGAAUCAGAGAUAUAUAAUUAAAAUGAAUUAAAUACAAAUAAUUUUAUUUUGAUUCAACGGCAUUUCUUGACGAGAAGGCUGUGAGAGAGGAGGAAAAGACCGACACGGAUAAUGGGGUGAGGUUUUGGGUUCUCUUCCGCCACGGAUAGGAGCGAUCGGUCUCGAGG
This 416-nucleotide long non-coding RNA is filed under the name Olea europaea subsp. europaea. Lineage: Eukaryota; Viridiplantae; Streptophyta; Magnoliopsida; Lamiales; Oleaceae. The record is from RNAcentral.